RNAcentral lists this microRNA (22 nucleotides) under Murid gammaherpesvirus 4 (Murine herpesvirus 68). Its description in RNAcentral is "mghv-miR-M1-3-5p". Its record names the gene mghv-miR-M1-3-5p. Lineage: Duplodnaviria; Heunggongvirae; Peploviricota; Herviviricetes; Herpesvirales; Orthoherpesviridae. The record is from miRBase by way of RNAcentral.
AGCGAACCUCUGCUCACUGCCC